GCCUGUAGCUCAGCGGUAGAGCAGGGGACUCAUAAUCCCUUGGUCGAGGGUUCGAACCCCCCCGGGC
RNAcentral lists this transfer RNA (67 nucleotides) under bovine gut metagenome. It matches the Rfam family "tRNA". Rfam says of the family: Transfer RNA (tRNA) molecules are approximately 80 nucleotides in length. Their secondary structure includes four short double-helical elements and three loops (D, anti-codon, and T loops). The record is from RNAcentral.